This 813-nucleotide ribosomal RNA is filed under the name uncultured bacterium. RNAcentral describes it as "bacterial SSU rRNA". It matches the Rfam family "Bacterial small subunit ribosomal RNA", at positions 56 to 865 of the family's 1533-position model. The record is from RNAcentral.
UGCAAGUCGAACGGCAGCACGGAGCUUGCUCUGGUGGCGAGUGGCGAACGGGUGAGUAAUAUAUCGGAACGUACCCAGGAGUGGGGGAUAACGUAGCGAAAGUUACGCUAAUACCGCAUACGUCCCAAGGGAGAAAGUGGGGGCUCGCAAGACCUCAUGCUCAUGGAGCGGCCGAUAUCUGAUUAGCUAGUUGGUAGGGUAAAAGCCUACCAAGGCAUCGAUCAGUAGCUGGUCUGAGAGGACGACCAGCCACACUGGAACUGAGACACGGUCCAGACUCCUACGGGAGGCAGCAGUGGGGAAUUUUGGACAAUGGGGGCAACCCUGAUCCAGCAAUGCCGCGUGAGUGAAGAAGGCCUUCGGGUUGUAAAGCUCUUUUGUCAGGGAAGAAAAGGCUGCGGCUAAUAUCUGCGGCUCAUGACGGUACCUGAAGAAUAAGCACCGGCUAACUACGUGCCAGCAGCCGCGGUAAUACGUAGGGUGCAAGCGUUAAUCGGAAUUACUGGGCGUAAAGCGUGCGCAGGCGGUUUUGUAAGACUGUCGUGAAAUCCCCGGGCUCAACCUGGGAAUGGCGAUGGUGACUGCAAGGCUAGAGUUUGGCAGAGGGGGGUAGAAUUCCACGUGUAGCAGUGAAAUGCGUAGAUAUGUGGAGGAACACCGAUGGCGAAGGCAGCCCCCUGGGUCAAAACUGACGCUCAUGCACGAAAGCGUGGGGAGCAAACAGGAUUAGAUACCCUGGUAGUCCACGCCCUAAACGAUGUCUACUAGUUGUCGGGUCUUAAUUGACUUGGUAACGCAGCUAACGCGUGAAGU